This 505-nucleotide ribosomal RNA is filed under the name uncultured bacterium. RNAcentral's name for it is "partial 16S ribosomal RNA". It matches the Rfam family "Bacterial small subunit ribosomal RNA", at positions 28 to 504 of the family's 1533-position model. The record is from RNAcentral.
GACGAACGCUGGCGGCGUGCCUAAUACAUGCAAGUCGAACGCUUCUUUCCUCCCGAGUGCUUGCACUCAAUUGGAAAGAGGAGUGGCGGACGGGUGAGUAACACGUGGGUAACCUACCCAUCAGAGGGGGAUAACACUUGGAAACAGGUGCUAAUACCGCAUAACAGUUUAUGCCGCAUGGCAUAAGAGUGAAAGGCGCUUUCGGGUGUCGCUGAUGGAUGGACCCGCGGUGCAUUAGCUAGUUGGUGAGGUAACGGCUCACCAAGGCCACGAUGCAUAGCCGACCUGAGAGGGUGAUCGGCCACACUGGGACUGAGACACGGCCCAGACUCCUACGGGAGGCAGCAGUAGGGAAUCUUCGGCAAUGGACGAAAGUCUGACCGAGCAACGCCGCGUGAGUGAAGAAGGUUUUCGGAUCGUAAAACUCUGUUGUUAGAGAAGAACAAGGACGUUAGUAACUGAACGUCCCCUGACGGUAUCUAACCAGAGAGCCACGGCUAACUAC